Long non-coding RNA from Dicentrarchus labrax (European seabass), 1452 nucleotides. RefSeq lists it as uncharacterized. NCBI's taxonomy places the organism in Eukaryota, Metazoa, Chordata, Actinopteri, Moronidae. The transcript is spliced from 3 exons. The record is from RefSeq and is a predicted model, not a curated record.
UAAAGUGCCUUAUAUACAAAUAUGUACAUCACUGUCUUCUUUUUUAUCUACUUCUACUUGCCCUCAUCUCAUCAACAUCCCUCUGAUGUUUACCCUGAGCAUAAAGUCAACUCGCCUGCAGAGGGGUUUCCUCUCCGCAAACAGACCCUUCUCUGUGUCUGAAACCGGAGAGGUGAGCAUUCCUCUGCCCAGGCCCUCAAAUAAAGACCCAGAUUCUUGCAGAAAUAAUCCAGAUUCCCACUGGGAGUGCAAACCUAUCCGCUGUACCUCCCUCAAGGUGGACAAUCAGUGUCUUUGUGAAGCCAAGCUGAUGCCAACAGCCUGAGCCCAGAGCCACUCCACCCGGCAGCCCCUCAGUCCUGCUGCCUAAGCUGUGCAGAUGGUCUUCCUUGCUGUGGAAACACUGGAUUACUUCGGACAAAUAUCAUCAUCAUAAAUGCUGGAUUAUCAGAGCCGAAUAUUUCUUCUUUUCUUGGUGGAUUAUGGAUCUUCAAAUUCAUUUUCAAAUGGAAUUAUCAGAUAAAACACCACCAGCUCUUUGGGAUUGCAUGACAUCAAGGCGUCUCCACCGACUGAGAGGCUGAUUGGCUCCCUGUAGUGAUGGAAGCAGCAUUACACCUGAAGGAGGUGCAGUUUACUCCUGUCCAAGACUGACCAUGUGACCAACCAGGACUGGACUGGUAGUGGUCAGGAUACGGGAAGUGGGUAAGUACAGUCACUGACCAGGGGAUUACACCAUCAUCUCAAACUCAAAAUAUAUGACUGCAAUCAUUUCUACAUUUUGAAUAAUAGAAUACAUUUAUUAUAAUAAUAAUUACUGAAAACUCAUAAUUACACUUGAGUUUAUGUAAACUCCCAAACUUAGCUGAAGGUGAGCUGACCUUCCAAAAUAAAAUGACCAAAUUCUCUUCAGAUCCAACUUGUACAGCUGGCUUAAUCAAAUCCUAUCAUAGCAAAGACUAAUUUUAAGUCAAUAAUAAAAUCAACAUGAAGAUCUGUAAAAAAAAACACUGCAAAAGCAACCCCAAACAUAUCUACAGGAGAUUUUUUUCCACAGCUCACAUAAACCCACCUUUAACUUUUUAAGGAUGUAAUCAGUUUUGAUGACAUAAAAUUGGAUUUUUCUUUGUGAAAAAUGAAGUCUUAACAAGUCCACUGCUCAAAGAGAGAAAAGAAAAAUCUCUUCCCCACUGUGUCUAACUUCCCUUCAGCCAGGCAAAGUCUCCACUUCCUGUCCUGCUCCAAACAGCUCCAACCUCAGCCUGCGUGUUCCAACCUGAGCCCAGCAUGUUUUCACCCCCUGAUCAUUUCACUGCUCUCGCUCCAUCAUAAACACACAAGAAUCUGCUCUGGGUGCCAGACAGAGUGUGAACGCACCACCCACAUGGCCCCUCAGCUGAGCAGGAAUCGAACGACUGAUGAGUGAGUGACAGACGAAGUGUGAGAGUGUGA